Molecule: ribosomal RNA, 326 nt
Filed under: uncultured bacterium
Lineage: Bacteria
Description: bacterial SSU rRNA
Rfam family: Bacterial small subunit ribosomal RNA
Source: RNAcentral
GAUGAACGCUGGCGGCGUGCUUAACACAUGCAAGUCGAACGGGAAUGCCACGCUGAUGCGAUUUCGGUCAAAUCAUGUGGCAUUCGAGUGGCGGACGGGUGAGUAACGCGUGGGUAACCUGCCUUACACAGGGGGAUAACACCUGGAAACAGGUGCUAAUACCGCAUAAGCGCACAGGGCCGCAUGGCCCGGUGUGAAAAACUCCGGUGGUGUAAGAUGGACCCGCGUCUGAUUAGCUUGUUGGCGGGGUAGGGGCCCACCAAGGCGACGAUCAGUAGCCGGCCUGAGAGGGUGGACGGCCACAUUGGGACUGAGACACGGCCCAA